RNA transcript from Hibiscus syriacus, 3261 nucleotides. It is a transcript of the gene named protein HEAT INTOLERANT 4-like, with no coding region annotated. The record is from RefSeq and is a predicted model, not a curated record. The transcript is spliced from 3 exons. Lineage: Eukaryota; Viridiplantae; Streptophyta; Magnoliopsida; Malvales; Malvaceae.
GUUAUUACUAACACUGGACUUUUUGGUUAUCAAUGAGUGGGUGGAGUUGAUUUUAGGGUUUGAUUUUAACAUGUUUUGAUGAAACUGUUACAUUCACUGCUGUAGUUGGAGCCUCUAUUUUAAUGCUCAAGGCUGAAAUAGAGGUGCUCCCAUGAGUAAAAAGCUAAUUGCUAAAAUGUUUAUUAACACAAAAUCAUACGUACUUAUGUAUUAUGUGUGUGUGUGACACUCCAAUGAUCAAAUACUUUUAGAGUUUUGAAGUUCAAACCUUAUUUUUUUACUUAUGGCGAGUAAGGUGAUUAGAUAUGUUGGGAAAAGUUGUGUUACGGUGAUCAUCUUCAAUAUUCCAGAGUUUCUUCAUCAUCAAGGUCUUUGGCAAUUUUUCGAUAGAUAUGGUGAAGUGGUUGAUUCUUUCAUCCCUAACAAAAGAAGCAAGGGAGGAAGUAGGUUUGGUUUUGUUCGUUUCACAAGAUUGGAGGACGCGAGGAAGGCUAUCAACUGUGUUGAUAGAUCUAGGAUUCAAGGGAAUAUAGUUAGAGUUUUCAUGGCGAGAUUUCAACCUCGUGAAGCUUUCUGGAGAAAGAAGCUUGCUGGCCCAAAACUAGCUGAGGCCAAGAGUAAUGUGGUGUUUCAGAAGCAUUCAAGAGGCUCCCAUUGUCGGUGUUGUUGACGAGGACAAGCUCUUCACUCUCAGAAAUAGCUUGGUAGGUGGGUGCAGAAAAUUUUCAAAAAUGAAAGAGUUGAUUGUUCUUAUGCAAAAGGAAGGCAUUUUAGGUUCGAAAAUUAUGAGGUUAAGUAGUUUAACAAUUCUAAUUUUUUUGGAAGAUGAAGAGAGUAGGGAUUAUGCUCUUAAUAAUCAGAUUGGGGCGUUAAAAAACUGCUUUGACAAAGUGGAAGUGUGGUCGGAAAACUUCCAGUGCAGCAGUCGUCGGGCAUGGCUUUCGUGCAGAGGGAUCCCACCGUUGGUGUGGAGUCAUUCCACCUUCAAAAACAUUGCAGACAAAUGGAGAGAUCUUAUCUCCAUUGAGGAAGGGACAUUAUAUCCAGGCUCGUUUGAUAGGGCAAUGUUUCAGAUAUCUACGAACUGUCAAGCUCGAGUGGAAGAAUACAUAGAUUUGAAAGUCGGGGAACGGAUCUAUACAGUUUAUGUUUCUGAGUUUGAACCUUGUUUCAGCCUAGAAUCUGUCUGGGUAGAUUCGUCCUUGAUGGAUAAGGGAGUUUCCUACCCGUUUUCCAUGGUGGGGGAACUUGUUAGUGACUCGCCAGUUUUGCCUUCCGCGAUGGAGAAGUGUGCUGAGGAAGCAAGGAGAAGUGUGGACUCAACGGUGGAGAAUAUUUUCGAGUGGUUUUCCGAGGAAGAAGACAGUCUAUUAUGUUGUUUGGGGAACAGAUUUAGAGGCAACAACCUGUUGGGUGAAGAUGAGGAGAAUAGGGACAUAGGGGAGGAAUUAAUUAUGGGUCUGAGGAAUGUGGUUGUUGGUCAGGGGAUGGUACAAACGAAUUUUGAGGAAGUGCUGGACCAAGCGGAGAGAGAGGUAGAAAAUGACAUUAGGAAAAGUGGUGAGACUGCACGUGCUUUUGAGGGUACUACGGAUUAUUUUUUAGAUUUCCCCAUGUUGGAUGGUCGGGUAGAGUCAAAGGUGGUGGAUGAUGUGACUAAUGUGGGCCUCACAAAUUAUUGUGCAUUCAAAAAUUCUAAGGGCGAGCCAAGUCAGAACCAGAGAGCAAAGAAGGGGAAAAACAAAAAUUUCAGCUCUCUCCAAGACUGCCGUAGCAAGAAAUACCAGAGUAAGGUGCAUCGAGACGAAGAAUGGCCCGAACUUGAAGGUAGAUCCUUAUAUGAUUCUGAUUUUCGAGCAAAGUAGCAGACUCAAAAGAAGGAAGCGACAGAUUGCUUAAAGAUCGGGAAUGAUUUGGGUUUUGAGUCUGAUGGCUUACAAGUGGUUUUUGUUACGGAACAUUGUAGCACUGGAAGUAUUGACAGAAUCAUUAAGUUCUGAAUAGUUUUUAGGGGACUAGAUUAUGUUUUCUGUUUAUGGAGUUGGAGGUUCGGAGGGUCUUCGAUGUGAAGUUGAGCAGUUAGUGGCAGAAGGGCGAUUACAGUUUGUUUGAAGUUUGUUUUGUUCAACUGUUAGCGUGGAAGCUCAUGGCUUUGGUGUGUGAUUUUGGCUACUAUGGAUUGUGUCAGUUGGUUUAUUUGGCCUUUAUUAUUGUUAUAUUGUGUUGCAGCAUGAUAGAGUUAGUGCAGCAUUAGUUGAGUGCUAGUGCAGAAACAGCAGGGUAUAGGCUGGAAAAGCAGAGUAUGGGCAGCGUGGGGUAUUGUGCAGCAGCAUGGACAAAUUGGUUACUGCAGUCUCUGUUGUCAAGACAACUUUAAAGUGGCAGACAAGCGGUUAUGUGCUUGCUGUUUUGUAUUCUUUUCAUGUGGAAGCUUUUGGCUUUUGUGUUAGAACUUGGCUGCUAUCUUCUAUUAUCGUUGUUUCUUUUGUGGCGUCUUUCGGGCCACGUUUAGGCUUUUAGUAUAGUCAAUCUGUUUUUGAGGCUAAUGUUGUUUCUAAGUUGGAUUAGGCUGAGUCUAUGUUGUUGUUUAGGGUUGUUUGCUGCUGCUUUUGGUGUUAUGUUUAUGUUGGGGGUGGCUCUCAGGUUGUAUCUUGUAUUUUCUAAUGAUUAAUGAAAUCUUAAGGCACUCUUUUCCUCCUCCCGCUGAUUAAAGAGCUUAUAUAUAAGUUCCUUUAAUCAUGAAGGAGGUUUCUAACGAGGCCUCCAAUUCCUAUAAAAAAAAAGUUCAAACCUUAUGGAGGCUGAGGUUUCCACAUGUACUAUUGUAUCUUUUAUGCUUGUAAACUUUAGUAUAGAUGCUCUGAUGAAUCUUUAGAAGUUAACUCACCUUUGCCUCAUGCAAAGAUUAAGCAUCAUCAUUACUUUAGUAUAGUCUUCAUCGCAUUUAUUUUUUUCCUGUUCGGUUGUUUGGCCAAUUUGGAUGAAAUUCUUGGGCUAUUGGAAUUUUCAGUUUGUUUUUCAUGCAGAUGCUAAAAGAUUCCUAUUGGCUUGGAAUGACUUGAAGACCAACUCUCUUAUCUGGUCAUUUAUCCCUGGAGCUGUUUUAUGGACAAUUUGGAAGACCAGGAAUUUUAUAGUGUUUGAAGGAGGGAAGCUUGAUCGAGCAGAGAUUUUCUUUCUAGCAAGGUAUUUUGUGAAUUUGAUUGGGAGUUGGAUGAACUUGAUGAAUUUCUGUCUAAAUUAUAUCUACCAAUACGCACG